GACGAACGCUGGCGGCGUGCUUAACACAUGCAAGUCGAACGGAAAGGCCCUGCUUUUGUGGGGUGCUCGAGUGGCGAACGGGUGAGUAACACGUGAGUAACCUGCCCUUGACUUUGGGAUAACUUCAGGAAACUGGGGCUAAUACCGGAUAGGAGCUCCUGCUGCAUGGUGGGGGUUGGAAAGUUUCGGCGGUUGGGGAUGGACUCGCGGCUUAUCAGCUUGUUGGUGGGGUAGUGGCUUACCAAGGCUUUGACGGGUAGCCGGCCUGAGAGGGUGACCGGCCACAUUGGGACUGAGAUACGGCCCAGACUCCUACGGGAGGCAGCAGUGGGGAAUAUUGCGCAAUGGGCGGAAGCCUGAUGCAGCAACGCCGCGUGCGGGAUGACGGCCUUCGGGUUGUAAACCGCUUUCGCCUGUGACGAAGCGUGAGUGACGGUAAUGGGCAAAGAAGCACCGGCUAACUACGUG
RNAcentral lists this ribosomal RNA (468 nucleotides) under uncultured bacterium. RNAcentral's name for it is "partial 16S ribosomal RNA". It matches the Rfam family "Bacterial small subunit ribosomal RNA", at positions 28 to 507 of the family's 1533-position model. The record is from RNAcentral.